CAGAGGAACCAUGGGACAGAACUAACAGUUGGACGAAAAUCCCGAUGUUUCAACAUAAGUGCCGAAAGCAUUGAUUAGGAGAAUACCUCAACAAUAGCAAUCGAAGAAAGAAAGAGGGAUGAAGAAACGAUCGAACUAGUUGCACAUUCGCUUUUGCAUAAUUUCAUGGUUCCUGAUUUCGCGGCCAACCGAGCGAAAAACUAUAACGAUGCUCCGUUUGAGGAACGAGGAGAACGGGGAACGACCUGCGUGCGGAUUCGGGCGCGGUCAAUGCCGUCUAGAUGCUCGCUAUUACUAUCCGGACCGCCUGGUAUUUUCGUCAUGGCCUACUAAUACACUCCGCAAAUUCUCGCCCUACCACGGGGGCCACCGUUCGACGAUGACGUCGUGAAGGAAAUAUGCCGAUCGUGAGCAGUGUCACUGACCGUGAUGGCCAAUUUCUUCGCUUUUUAUUCUUUGAAAUCGAGCCAACCGAGCCUGUUGCAGCCUCUUCUUUGCUAGAUUCGAGAUAUUCAGAAGCGUUAUUCCAAAAGUUUCGGAACAAAUUUCUCGGAAGGAAAGAUACGUCCCCGAUUGCCAGCUUUGGUAGCUUGGCGUAACGAGGGAAGCGGCAUGCUAAUACGUUUAGUGGGCAACCAGGAGCACAAUGGACACGGCUAAAUAUUCAGAGUUCGGCCUUCCAUAUAUUCAUGACCGUCAUCUUUGUAGAGAAAAAGAAAAGGCAGAUGUAUUUGCAUCUGAAAGAUGAACGAUUUGUGGGACAGGAAGCUUUUCAAUACUCUGUUUCUCAACGAUAUAUGUUGACCAUCAUUCACCGAUGGAUGCCACCUUUAGAAAAAUUGCAUUUAGCGUUUCACAGAGUGGAGUUAUGGUUACAAUUUAUUCCGAAACGCGUUAUUCAUAAUCGAUAGUCAUUCUUCAUUGCGAAACGCCACUAUCAUGUAGAAUGUGUCCUGAAAACGAUCCAGGAAAAUCAAGUGAU
This is a long non-coding RNA of Eufriesea mexicana, 982 nucleotides long. RefSeq lists it as uncharacterized. The transcript has 4 exons. Lineage: Eukaryota; Metazoa; Arthropoda; Insecta; Hymenoptera; Apidae. The record is from RefSeq and is a predicted model, not a curated record.